AUGUCAGGUAAGACCAAAGGUUUUGUUUUGAAUUUCAGCGUCUAUGCGUUAGCCGCCAGGUGGCUUUCUUAGUUUUGACCACUUUGGUCUCAGCUGAUGUGCCAGUAUUCCGGUGUAUUCCGGUGCAACAAAUUUCUGGCGCGCUAGUACGUUUCUGAUUUCGAGCUUUUUUCGCGUAUCAAGCCCUUGGAUGAACCAAUUAAGUACGGAUUUAAUACAUCUUAAUAGUUCCGUAAAGAGGUAAAAAAAACCCGUAAAAAAACCAAAAGACAUGACUUUGCUCAGUGCUUUGGCAACCUUACUGUAUAUUUCUACAAGCAACAUUUGAACAUUUGAAACAGUUUGUGAACAGUUGACACUGCAAAACGUAGCAGAAGGCACUUUGACUCGCGUAAAUGGUGCGCUCAUCUCCCUCUUACGAAUAAGAAAAAAGUGUCGGUAUUAGGAAAGGAUGUCACUGUCGGUGCACGAUAGGGAGCUGCGCUUCCGCCUUUGUCGGAGGUUUCGAUGGUCAAUCAGAUCCUGAUCGUCGUAGGGGUCGGAAACGUUGCUGACUUCAUCGUUAUCGUAUUCCAAGUCGCUACCCGAUUCAGAAGUUUCAUCAUCAAGUAUUCGAUUGACUGGGCCUCGUACUUUUGCUACCAUUUCCGCCAGAUCUGUAAAUGUUUGUGGUCCUAAACAAACAUGUUUUAAUAUGAGAAAGAAACGUCGUUUAAUAGGUCGAAAUUCAUCAAAUUACCUCGUCGACCUUGAGAUCGGUGCUGAGUAUCAUUUGUUCCGUAACGCUGAUUAUACGGAUAAUAGUUAUUUGAGGUAUUGGUAGUUGGUGAAUAUUUCUUCGUUUCUCGGUAGUGAACACCAGGUUUGGUGUAAGUACCAAGAAGUCCAGCUUUUUGCAAACCAAUGAAGUAAGUUUUCCCAUGGUUGUAACCGACAUCCUGCAUAUCCAGUGGCACACCAUCGUUAUCAAAACAAUUAUUUUGUAAAGAAUAGUUCUAUACUUGCCUUGAUUUCAUGAAAACUACCAAAUUGUAACGUUUUAUACUUGUCGAUGGGUGGCCUUAUAUACUCACAAUAGUCACUUUUUUUAACCUCCUAUGAUUGACAGGAAGUUUUCAAACGUUAUAUAGGUCAACCUAAAAAAAAAAUAAUAAAACCUACUUCUAACUGACGAACGCAGGAAACAUAUGCAAGACGGGACUGAAUGUCUGGCAAGUUAGGCACUUUUACUGGACUCGCAAACGGAUUCCAUUUUUUCCAGAGCAACCACCAUCCGGAUAAACAGUCUCCAUAAUUAGUCAAGUCGGUAUCGUCUUGCGAACCUACGUCGAUUGCCAGAAUAUGUUUGGCACCUCGACUUCUCAUUACGUCGGCUUAGA
This is a long non-coding RNA of Daphnia magna, 1379 nucleotides long. RefSeq lists it as uncharacterized. The transcript is spliced from 2 exons. Lineage: Eukaryota; Metazoa; Arthropoda; Branchiopoda; Diplostraca; Daphniidae. The record is from RefSeq and is a predicted model, not a curated record.